Molecule: ribosomal RNA, 409 nt
Filed under: Vibrio sp. PASRS97
Lineage: Bacteria; Pseudomonadati; Pseudomonadota; Gammaproteobacteria; Vibrionales; Vibrionaceae
Description: bacterial SSU rRNA
Rfam family: Bacterial small subunit ribosomal RNA
Source: RNAcentral
AAAGCGUGGGGAGCAAACAGGAUUAGAUACCCUGGUAGUCCCACGCCGUAAACGAUGUCUACUUGGAGGUUGUGGCCUUGAGCCGUGGCUUUCGGAGCUAACGCGUUAAAGUAGACCGCCUGGGGAGUACGGUCGCAAGAUUAAAACUCAAAUGAAUUGACGGGGGCCCGCACAAGCGGUGGAGCAUGUGGUUUAAUUUCGAUGCAACGCGAAGAACCUUACCUACUCUUGACAUCCAGAGAACUUUCCAGAGAUGGAUUGGUGCCUUCGGGGAACUCUGAGACAGGUGCUGCAUGGCUGUCGUCAGCUCGUGUUGUGAAAUGUUGGGUUAAGUCCCGCAACGAGCGCAACCCUUAUCCUUGUUUGCCAGCGAGUAAUGUCGGGAACUCCAGGGAUCAGGCCGGUGAUA